AUGAAGCGGCAAGAGCCCAAAUUUGAAAUCGGGCAGCCGAGUUGUAAUUUGGAGACGGGACACUAGAGAGGAGGAAGGCGAUUAAGUGCCUUGGAACAGGCUGCCGUAGAGGGUGAGAGCCCCGUGAAUCGCUGGAGACCGAUCAAUUAGUGCCCGCCGAAGAGUCGAGUUGUUUGGGAAUGCAGCUCUAAGUGGGUGGUAUAUUCCAUCUAAGGCUAAAUAUUAGCGAGAGACCGAUAGCAAACAAGUACAGUGAUGGAAAGAUGAAAAGAACUUUGGAAAGAGAGUGAAAUAGUACGUGAAAUUGUUGAAAGGGAAGGGUAUUUGAUCCGACAUGGUGUUUAGCAGCGGCCCGUUCCUCGUGGAUGGGUGCACCUGGUUUACACUGGGCCAGCAUCGGUUCUGGGAGCCAUAUACGGGGUUCGUGAAUGUGGCCCUUCGAUUCUGUCGGAGGGUGUUAUAGCGCGGACAUCUUGUGGCUAGCCGGGACCGGGGACUGCGGUGACUUGUCACCAAGGAUGCUGGCAGAACGAGCAAAUACCACCCGUCUUGAACC
RNAcentral lists this ribosomal RNA (556 nucleotides) under Brettanomyces bruxellensis. RNAcentral's name for it is "partial large subunit ribosomal RNA". It matches the Rfam family "Eukaryotic large subunit ribosomal RNA", at positions 93 to 660 of the family's 3401-position model. The record is from RNAcentral. Lineage: Eukaryota; Fungi; Ascomycota; Pichiomycetes; Pichiales; Pichiaceae.